AAUCGUUAAAAAUUAAGAAGCUCAAUAAUAAAUUAUUACCGGGGAGGGUCAUUGGGUUGAUGAACCGUCAAUGGCGGUUCUCAAUGGCCACAUGCAGUUCUUCCAACUUUCUACCACUUAAACGGUGCAUGGGUAAAUCCACUCCCAUGUUCUAAUCAAAUGGUGGACAGUUAUUUAUGGUUUAUUUAGGUAAUUUAAAUUACUUAAAACACUAAAACCUAGAAUCAGACUUCAUUCUUCAAAAAAAAACGUUGCGUCCCAAAAUUUGUCUCUAAACCUCCAUGGAAGCUGAGGUCAAAUUGGUGCUAGAAUUGAAGAUUUCCAUUGCUUUCUUCUUCAACUUAGUGGACUUAUUAAUAAUCAGGCGUUGGCAAGUGAGGGGAUUUUUGAUGUUGAAGCUUGAGACUUAGAAGUUUUCUCUCAAGAUUUGGGUAUUUCCUCAUAUGUCGAAAAGAAGACUCUUUAUUUCUAGUUUUCCUUUAUCAAUUCAUUUGUAUAAUACUUUUAUCUUUCUUUCAAUGUAAGGGUUGUGUCCCUAUGAUAUUGUGAUGUGUCUAAGAUGGCUUGUGUCGAGACUUAAGUAUUCUUACCUUUUAUAAAA
Molecule: long non-coding RNA, 601 nt
Organism: Solanum pennellii
Lineage: Eukaryota; Viridiplantae; Streptophyta; Magnoliopsida; Solanales; Solanaceae
Exons: 2
Source: RefSeq, a predicted model, not a curated record